AAGAAUUAGAAAUACAAGUUCUACUGGGAGAGGCAGAGGGAGGGACUAGGAAUAUGAGUUGGCAGAGUAAAGGGAAAGGGAACUGGUAGAGGAAGGGGAAGGGGAGCUGGUUCUGAUUCUACAAGUACAGCAACAUCUGCAGCAAAUGCACGUGUUGGCUUUGCAACUGUUGCUUCUCUUGAUGCUUGCUACAAGAUCUAUUUCUACUAUUGUUGCAAAAAAAGAACGAGAGAAAUGGGAUUUGGUAUUCACACAGACACACAAUCUGGAAGACAAGUCCUUAAUGAAGACCAAGUGAAAGAGUCAUUUAUAGUGGGGGACAAUUAAAAAAUAAAUCACUUACCAAUAUUGAUCUUGGAUUCAAGCCACCUGGAUUGAAAUGGAAGGAAAAAUAUGCUAUUAUUGGAAACCAACUUCACCAACAAAAAGAGAUGCAAAUCAUGAAGAAAAAGGCUCACCGGAGAACAUUUCACUUUAUGUAUUUUGUUCAAGUAUUUUGUCUUGGGUCAUUUUCAUGAACCUAAAACUGAAAUUUAUUUAUUUACUAUUCAAGCAAUGUUUCAUAUGUAUGUUUGGCAUUUUA
This is a long non-coding RNA of Nicotiana tabacum (common tobacco), 583 nucleotides long. RefSeq lists it as uncharacterized. Lineage: Eukaryota; Viridiplantae; Streptophyta; Magnoliopsida; Solanales; Solanaceae. The record is from RefSeq and is a predicted model, not a curated record.